UCGGGUUUUUUUGGUGACUGUACACAGG
RNAcentral lists this non-coding RNA (28 nucleotides) under Mus musculus (house mouse). Lineage: Eukaryota; Metazoa; Chordata; Mammalia; Rodentia; Muridae. The record is from RNAcentral.